UCUUGAUUGACGUUUACAUUGGCUAACAAAAUCUUUCACUUCUACCACGCUGGAAUUUCAUAAAAAGAAAUGACAAAAUAUUUCCAAUUUUAUUAUCCUUUAAAAUGAAUUAUUUUUGCCUGUUUGACCUGUUAAGCCGAAUUUUCAGUUUCCCACAAGUGUUUUUUUUUUUUUUUCUUUCUUUCCAGUUUCAGUGCUGCUGCUGCUGCUGCUGCUGCGUCGCUACAGUUGUGUCCGACUCUGUGCGACCCCAUAGAUGGCUACAGAUGGAGAAUUUAGGCUUGGAAAAGAGGUAUCUAACCAGGAGAAACAGCUCCUUGAGACAAAUUUUGAGGGCCUUUUGUGGAACUGCCUUUGAACCUGUGUGCCAGCAGAAGAUUUCAGGAUAAACAAGACAAGACUGAAGAUGACUAGAAAUUCUUCAAAACUGUAUGUCUUAGUACUCCCGAAGUAGACAGACCUUGGUUCAAAUGUUUUCCCCUCCACUUGCUGUUCAAUCUUGGACUAGUUACCUAACAUCCCUGAGUAUUGGUUUCCUUGCCUGAAAGACAGAGGCAAUCCAUAAUCCAUAAUAAAUGUGAAAACAUAAAAGACCCAGCAUGCAAGAACCCAAGAAUCCCUUGAAAUCAAACAGACAAGAGUCCCUUCAUUACUUAGAACACUACCUCUUAAAAUCAAUUAGCAGUUUCUAUUUAAG
RNAcentral lists this long non-coding RNA (697 nucleotides) under Capra hircus (goat). Its description in RNAcentral is "lncRNA (ENSCHIG00000000789.1)". The record is from RNAcentral. Lineage: Eukaryota; Metazoa; Chordata; Mammalia; Artiodactyla; Bovidae.